UCCCAGGUGGCUCAGUUGGUAAAGAAUCUGCUUGCAGUGCUGGAGGCCCAGGUUCAAUCCCUGGGUGGGGAA
This 72-nucleotide transfer RNA is filed under the name Ovis aries (sheep). It matches the Rfam family "tRNA". Rfam says of the family: Transfer RNA (tRNA) molecules are approximately 80 nucleotides in length. The record is from Rfam by way of RNAcentral. Lineage: Eukaryota; Metazoa; Chordata; Mammalia; Artiodactyla; Bovidae.